AACGCGAAGAACCUUACCUACCCUUGACAUGCCAGGAAGCCGGGUGAGAGCUCGGUGUGCCCGAAAGGGAGCCUGGACACAGGUGCUGCAUGGCUGUCGUCAGCUCGUGUCGUGAGAUGUUGGGUUAAGUCCCGCAACGAGCGCAACCCUUGUCAUUAGUUGCUACGGUAACGGGCACUCUAGUGAGACUGCCGGUGACAAACCGGAGGAAGGUGGGGAUGACGUCAAGUCCUCAUGGCCCUUAUGGGUAGGGCUUCACACGUCAUACAAUGGCGCAUACAGAGGGCUGCCAACCCGCGAGGGGGAGCCAAUCCCAGAAAGUGCGUCGUAGUCCGGAUUGCAGUCUGCAACUCGACUGCAUGAAGUCGGAAUCGCUAGUAAUCGCGGAUCAGCAAUGUCGCGGUGAAUACGUUCCCGGGUCUUGUACACACCG
This 433-nucleotide ribosomal RNA is filed under the name uncultured bacterium. RNAcentral's name for it is "bacterial SSU rRNA". It matches the Rfam family "Bacterial small subunit ribosomal RNA", at positions 958 to 1392 of the family's 1533-position model. The record is from RNAcentral.